RNAcentral lists this ribosomal RNA (231 nucleotides) under uncultured bacterium. RNAcentral describes it as "partial 16S ribosomal RNA". It matches the Rfam family "Bacterial small subunit ribosomal RNA", at positions 99 to 334 of the family's 1533-position model. The record is from RNAcentral.
CGGACGGGUGAGUAAUGUCUGGGAAACUGCCCGAUGGAGGGGGAUAACUACUGGAAACGGUAGCUAAUACCGCAUAACGUCGCAAGACCAAAGAGGGGACCUUCGGGCCUCGCGCCAUCAGAUGAACCCAUAUGGGAUUAGCUUGUAGGUAAGGUAACGGCUUACCUAGGCGACGAUCCCUAGCUGGUCUGAGAGGAUGAUCAGCCACACUGGAACUGAGACACGGUCCAG